This 838-nucleotide ribosomal RNA is filed under the name uncultured archaeon. RNAcentral's name for it is "bacterial SSU rRNA". It matches the Rfam family "Archaeal small subunit ribosomal RNA", at positions 21 to 866 of the family's 1478-position model. The record is from RNAcentral.
CCUGACUGCUAUCGGAUUGAUACUAAGCCAUGCGAGUCAUUGUAGCAAUACAAGGCAGACGGCUCAGUAACGCGUAGUCAAUCUACCCUAUGGACGGGAAUAACCUCGGGAAACUGAGAAUAAUGCCCGAUAGAACAUUAUGCCUGGAAUGGUUUAUGUUUCAAAUGAUUUAUCGCCAUGGGAUGGGACUGCGGCCUAUCAGUUUGUUGGUGAGGUAAUGGCCCACCAAGACUAUUACAGGUACGGGCUCUGAGAGGAGUAGCCCGGAGAUGGGUACUGAGACACGGACCCAGGCCCUAUGGGGCGCAGCAGGCGAGAAAACUUUGCAAUGUGCGAAAGCACGACAAGGUUAAUCCGAGUGGUUUCUGCUAAAGAAACCUUUUGUCAGUCCUAGAAACACUAACGAAUAAGGGGUGGGCAAGUUCUGGUGUCAGCCGCCGCGGUAAAACCAGCACCUCAAGUGGUCAGGAUGAUUAUUGGGCCUAAAGCAUCCGUAGCUCGUUUUGUAAGUUUUCGGUUAAAUCCAUGCGCUUAACGUAUGGGCUGCCGGGAAUACUGCAUAACAAGGAAGUGGGAGAGGUAGACGGUACUCGGGAGGAAGGGGUAAAAUCCUUUGAUCUCUUGAUGACCACCUGUGGCGAAGGCGGUCUACCAGAACACGUUCGACGGUGAGGGAUGAAAGCUGGGGGAGCAAACCGGAUUAGAUACCCGGGUAGUCCCAGCUGUAAACUAUGCAAACUCAGUGAUGCAUUGGCUUAUGGCCAAUGCAGUGCUGCAGGGAAGCCGUUAAGUUUGCCGCCUGGGAAGUACGUACGCAAGUAUGAAACUUAAAGGAAUU